AUUGAACGCUGGCGGCAGGCCUAACACAUGCAAGUCGAGCGGAUGAAGGGAGCUUGCUCCUGGAUUCAGCGGCGGACGGGUGAGUAAUGCCUAGGAAUCUGCCUCGUAGUGGGGGAUAACGUCCGGAAACGGGCGCUAGUACCGCAUACGUCCUGAGGGAGAAAGUGGGGGAUCUUCGGACCUCACGCUAUCAGAUGAGCCUAGGUCGGAUUAGCUAGUUGGUGGGGUAAAGGCCUACCAAGGCGACGAUCCGUAACUGGUCUGAGAGGAUGAUCAGUCACACUGGAACUGAGACACGGUCCAGACUCCUACGGGAGGCAGCAGUGGGGAAUAUUGGACAAUGGGCGAAAGCCUGAUCCAGCCAUGCCGCGUGUGUGAAGAAGGUCUUCGGAUUGUAAAGCACUUUAAGUUGGGAGGAAGGGCAGUAAGUUAAUACCUUGCUGUUUUGACGUUACCAACAGAAUAAGCACCGGCUAACUUCGUG
RNAcentral lists this ribosomal RNA (484 nucleotides) under uncultured bacterium. Its description in RNAcentral is "partial 16S ribosomal RNA". It matches the Rfam family "Bacterial small subunit ribosomal RNA", at positions 30 to 507 of the family's 1533-position model. The record is from RNAcentral.